GUAAAUUUCUUCCGCUCUUACGAAAGUCAAAAGGAACUCUAACAAGUGUAGAAAAGAAAAAAGGAACGGACGAGGUAGCGCGAAGGGGCGCAUAGAGCGACUUGGAACUUUGGAAGUUCCCAGACGAUGGUUUCUGCCACCGGCUACGCUGGCCCGACCGCCGAGCAGCUGCGCGCUGCCGCCCGGGUGCCGGCUUAUGGGCGACAGCUGGUGGAGGUGUUCUCCUUGCGCCUCGUCGGCGGAGCAGCUGGGGCGCCUCCCUGCGGCACCGUGAGCGUCUCCGACGGCAAGCGCGGGCAGGUCGUCUACAGCCGCGAACGUGAUCAGCCCACCCGCUUCCACCCUUCUUCCCGUGCUCAGGAUGGACUCGUGCUAACUGGUCCACAUCGAGCUAUCUCCGCGGAUGGGAGUGUUGCAAUUACGCUUGACCUCGACGAUGGCAGCCAAGAACCACCACCUUCUUCGCAAGAGGGUGGUAACAAAACUGGCAAGAUUUCUUGGGACGUGUACCACCCGAGCGUGGAGCAUGACAAGGCCAUCUCCCAGACCGUCGACACUCGCUGCGGCCCUGCAGAGGUGACCUACGCCGUGCUGAGUAACGCGGUCGAAGGCGUCGUCGAGGUGAAGCUCGUCCAUGGAGAGGAUGGCGGCCCCGCCUGUGUCCGUGGGAGGAUCACCGCGCGUAGCCGGCUGUUCGAGGUUGGAAUCGUGCUCUUCGACAGCGAAUCCGACGAGAGCGUACUCGCGAGAGCGAGGCUGGAGGGAUUGUCGACGAUUCCGCUGGCCAGAUCCGUCCUCGCGGUGCCGUUAGCAUGGCCCCUCACGGUAGAGGCGGAUCUGCGUGCUCGCUCCGGCGAUGAGAUCGCGAAAGGCUAUCUGGAGUUCUAUCCUGAGCUUGACGGUCAGCACGUGAAGCGUCUUGUGGGCAGGAACGGGGAGAUUGAAGUGAAGAUCACGUGGUGGGACAAUUAAUCAUGUAACUCUCCAGAUGAUAGUUUCUCACGCCAGCCCACUCGAGGAGGCAAUCGGCAUGCAGGCAGCCAUCUGGUUGCUGCUCCUUCACAUCAUUCUUCAUCAUCCUCUCUGCUACUCCUCCAACAUCGAUUAAAAAUGAGUCAUCACGGAUUAACCAUGCAAUAUGUGUUGGAUUCGUCGUCGUCGGAUGAUGACGAUAAAGUGCUUCUUGUUGCAAGGCAGCUAGUCCACCAACAACACCAGCUCGGUAACGCUCAACUCUAUGGAGGUUCCGGCCUGGACGGCAGAAACUUCAACACGAUAGAGUUGGAGGGCAUGGAAGACUAUACCAAGAUUAUUUUUCAGAUAAUCCAAUAUACGACCCAAUGUUCUUCCGUCAUAGGUUUAGAAUGUCACGGUCUCUGUUUUUGCGCAUUGCAUAAGCUGUAGAAGGACAUGACCUCUAUUUUGUGCAGAGAAGAAAUGUAGCUGGACAACUUGGGUUAUCUCCUUUGCAGAAAAUUACUGGAACUUUACUUCAGCUAGUUUAUGGAGUACCAGCGGAUGCUACGGAUAAUUAUGUUCGUAUUGGAAAAAGCUGUUGGAACCCCACUCAUGACCUCAUUGUGAACACCGGAUUGUCCGGUGUAACUUGAACUCCAUCGCCGAACUAUCCGGUGAGUUAUCUUGAGUCAUCCGAGCCUCUGUAAUAUCUCUGUGUAAAAAGCUCCGGUGUUCAUUCCAUUCAUACCGAACCAUCCGGUGAGUUGAACAUUUUCUUCUUUUCCCUUGAAAUGCUUCGGUGCAAACUUCUUCUUUUCUUUUUUUCCCUUCGCUUGUUUGCUUGUAAACAAGUCGUACGUCACUGCAAAAAGCGAUAAGUAUCCUUGACAGAAAACAUGUUGGCGAGGCGUUGCCCAAUUCCGUGCCAACAGAUAUAUAUGUGGAUGUAUUGUUCUGCAUUGGCAUAUUGAGCACUGUGAUUGUUUUUUUGUUUUGGUGACUAAAAUGAUUUUUCCUGCAGAAUCUGUCAGCUAGGAAGUUGUAGUUAAUUCCACUUUCUAGUUGCUAUAAAAAUUUCAGAAUUUUAACUCGCACGAUUUAGGAGAUAUGACUGUUUGAAGUCAGCAGUAUGUUCUGUUUCAGUUCAGGAAAUUCAGUUUGAGCAGUGCUGCUUCUGCAGUCGAUUCGAUGACCUUAGCUAUGUUUCCUCAAAAUUUUCAUAGCUAGAAUGUUGUAGGGCUUGGAAUUAUGUUUCCAUUCAUGUAGAGUUCUCUGUCAUAGCCUUUGUGGUUUGUGAGAUAUGCCCUGUUGAAAUUUGCUGUCGCAGUUUUAGCUUCAGAUAAACAGUCUCUGUUCGAGGGAUGAUUCAGAGGUUUUGUAGACCUCUGAGUUGUGACCCAUCAAAACUAAAGUUGUAGAUCAUGGUGUUAUAUAUUUUUUUGUAAAAUUUUCAUGUCAUUUGGAGUUGUGGUUUGUCCGUGAUACUUGUCUGAAUGUUGCUGUCAAGAUGCGGGAGACAGAUUCAGUCAUCUGUUUUCAAUUGCAUGUUAGGCAUAGAUAAUUUCAGAAUUUAAAUAUCAUGUAUUCGUAGAAGUUGUAGCUCUCAUUCUCUAGUUUAAAGAAAUGUUAUAGUUUUAUAUGUUUUGUGUAGUAAGAAAAUACAAAAUUUUGAAGCAGAUUUGCUACGGUAUGUUUGAAUUUUCAGUUUGCCGGUUUUGUCGUGUCGUGGGGUUUUUGUAUGAGGUGAAUGCUUGAUUUUGUGUAUGCUUUUGAGAUGUUGUUACAUAAUGAAAAUGUAUUUGCACAGGUGGUGCUACUUCGGGAUGCAAUUAGUGCUGUCAUAUACAUGCCCUAAACUAAUUGCUACAAUCUAUCCAAGGGCUUGUUUCCUACAAUUUGCGAAUAAAAGGCAUGCCGAACUGAUGCGAUGGCACGCCGAGGAGUGCAAGGAUGAUGUAAUGCUGAGACACCCCGCUGAUUCUACGUAGUGGAGAACCAUCAAUAGGAAAUACAAGAAGCCCUUUGAAAAAGAUGUGAGGAAUAUAUGAUUUGGGUUGAGUACGGAUGAGAUGAAUCCAUUCGGCAAUAUGAGCAGCAGUCAUAGCAUUUGGACUAUGACUCUAUGUAUCUACAACCUUCUUUCUUAGUUGUGUAUGAAGCAGAAGUACAUUAUGAUGCCGGUGCUGAUACCAGGGCCAAGGCAACCUGUCAACGAUAUGGAUGUUUAUCUAAAACCAUUAAUGGAA
RNA transcript from Phragmites australis (common reed), 3203 nucleotides. It is a transcript of the gene named 60 kDa jasmonate-induced protein-like, with no coding region annotated. The record is from RefSeq and is a predicted model, not a curated record. NCBI's taxonomy places the organism in Eukaryota, Viridiplantae, Streptophyta, Magnoliopsida, Poales, Poaceae. The transcript is spliced from 4 exons.